AAUGAACGCUGGCGGCGUGCCUAAUACAUGCAAGUCGAGCGAACGGACGAGAAGCUUGCUUCUCUGAUGUUAGCGGCGGACGGGUGAGUAACACGUGGAUAACCUACCUAUAAGACUGGGAUAACUUCGGGAAACCGUAGCUAAUACCGGAUAAUAUUUUGAACCGCAUGGUUCAAAAGUGAAAGACGGUCUUGCUGUCACUUAUAGAUGGAUCCGCGCUGCAUUAGCUAGUUGGUAAGGUAACGGCUUACCAAGGCAACGAUGCAUAGCCGACCUGAGAGGGUGAUCGGCCACACUGGAACUGAGACACGGUCCAGACUCCUACGGGAGGCAGCAGUAGGGAAUCUUCCGCAAUGGGCGAAAGCCUGACGGAGCAACGCCGCGUGAGUGAUGAAGGUCUUCGGAUCGUAAAACUCUGUUAUUAGGGAAGAACAUAUGUGUAAGUAACUGUGCACAUCUUGACAGUACCUAAUCAGAAAGCCACGGCUAACUACGUG
This 497-nucleotide ribosomal RNA is filed under the name uncultured bacterium. Its description in RNAcentral is "partial 16S ribosomal RNA". It matches the Rfam family "Bacterial small subunit ribosomal RNA", at positions 29 to 507 of the family's 1533-position model. The record is from RNAcentral.